RNAcentral lists this ribosomal RNA (1429 nucleotides) under Burkholderia mallei 2002721280. RNAcentral describes it as "16S ribosomal RNA". Lineage: Bacteria; Pseudomonadati; Pseudomonadota; Betaproteobacteria; Burkholderiales; Burkholderiaceae. The record is from RNAcentral.
GAUGGGCGCGGUGGCGGCGAGCGGCGCGAUUCACGACGCGAUCGUCGGCGGCGCGCCGGCCGGCAUCGAGCUGUUUCACGGCUACACGUAUUCGGGGCACCCGCUCGCGGCGGCGGCCGCCGUCGCGACGAUCGAUCUGUACGAACGCGAAGGGCUCCUCACGCGCGCCGCGCGGAUCGCGCCGAUCUUCGAGCGCGAGAUCCACAAGCUGAAGGACGCGCGCCACGUGAUCGACGUGCGCAAUCUCGGCCUCGUCGGCGGCGUCGAGUUGACGCCGCGUGACGGCAAGCCGGGCGCGCGCGCCUACGAAGUCUUCGUCAAGUGCUUCGAGAAGGGCGCGAUGAUCCGCUACACGGGCGACAUCCUCGCGUUCUCGCCGCCCCUCAUCGUCGAGGAGGCGCAGAUCGUCGAGCUGUUCUCGAUCGUCGCGCAGGCGCUGAAGGAAACGGAGUAGGCGGAGCGCGGCAAACGGGCGCCGCGCUCAGGGAAACGGGCGGCGCGCCCGGGCGAAGCGGCGCGCGUCGCGCGCGCCGCCGCGAUGCGCGCUCAGUAGCGCGGCACCGCGGGAUCGACGUCGCGCGACCACGCGUCGAUCCCGCCUUGCAGGUUGUAGAGCUUCGUGAAGCCGCGCGAUUCGAGGAACAUCGCGACCUGCGCGCUGCGCAUCCCGUGAUGGCACACGCAGACGAUUGCCGCUUCGUCGUCGAGCUCCUCGCUGCGCGCGGGAAUCUGCUGCAUCGGGAUCGAUACGCUGCCGUCGAUCUUCGCGGUCGCGAUCUCCCACGGCUCGCGCACGUCGAGCACGAUGGGCGCCGGGCGCGCCGGGUCGCGCAGCCAUUCGGCGAGGGCGGAAGCGCUCAGGAUCUGCAUCGGCACGCGCGGCCUCAGAACUUGAAGCGCGACGGCUCGAUCGCGUUGACGAGGUGAUCGACGUAGGUCUCGAAUACGUCGGCGACGCGAUAUUGCGUGUCGUCGAUGCGUGUGAUGAUCUGCGCCUUCAUCACCGGCCGGCCGCCGACGAACGCCGCGAGGCGGCCGCCCACCUUCAGUUGCUCGAGCAGUUCCUGCGGGACGACGGGCAGGCCGCCCGACACGCAGAUCACGUCGUACGGCGCCUUCGCGGGCCAGCCGCGCGAGCCGUCGCCGAGCACGACCUCGGCGUUCGUCAUGCCGUUCUUCUUCAGGUUCUCUUCGGCGAACUUCGCGAGAUCCGGAUCGAUCUCGACCGUCGUCACGCGCUGGCCGCGCGCGGCCAGCAAGGCCGCCAUGUAGCCGCCGCCCGCGCCGAUCUCGAGCACGUUCUCGUGCUUCUUCACCGCGAGCUCCUGCAGGAUGCGGGCCUCGACGCGCGGGAACAGCAUCUUCUGGCCGCUCGGCAGCGGCAGCUCGACGUCGGCGAACGCCAGGUCGCGAUACGCGGCCGGCACGA